GACGAACGCUGGCGGCGUGCUUAACACAUGCAAGUCGAACGGAAAGGCCCUGCUUUUGUGGGGUGCUCGAGUGGCGAACGGGUGAGUAACACGUGAGUAACCUGCCCUUGACUUUGGGAUAACUUCAGGAAACUGGGGCUAAUACCGGAUAGGAGCUCCUGCUGCAUGGUGGGGGGUGGAACGUUUCUGCGGUUGGGGAUGGACUCGCGGCUGAUCAGCUUGUUGGUGGGGGAGUGGCUUACCAAGGCUUUGAAGGGUAGCCGGCCUGAGAGGGUGACCGGCGACAUUGGUACUGAGAUACGGCCCAGACUCCUACGGGAGGCAGCAGUGGGGAAUAUUGCACAAUGGGCGGGAGCCUGAUGCAGCAACGCCGCGUGCGUGAUGACGGCCUUCGGGUUGUAAACCGCUUUCGCCUGUGACGAAGCGUGAGUGACGGUAAUGGGUAAAGAAGCACCGGCUAACUACGUG
Molecule: ribosomal RNA, 468 nt
Filed under: uncultured bacterium
Lineage: Bacteria
Description: partial 16S ribosomal RNA
Rfam family: Bacterial small subunit ribosomal RNA
Source: RNAcentral